Cnephaeus nilssonii (northern bat) is the source of this 71-nucleotide non-coding RNA. The record is from the annotation of a GenBank genome assembly. Lineage: Eukaryota; Metazoa; Chordata; Mammalia; Chiroptera; Vespertilionidae.
GCCGGUGUGGCUCAGUGGCUGAGUGUCGACCUAGGAACCAGGAGGUCAUGGUUCAAUUCCCUGUCAGGGCU